RNAcentral lists this long non-coding RNA (1383 nucleotides) under Citrus maxima (pomelo). RNAcentral describes it as "long non-coding RNA (CMAX_LNC004185)". Lineage: Eukaryota; Viridiplantae; Streptophyta; Magnoliopsida; Sapindales; Rutaceae. The record is from RNAcentral.
UGGAUUUUUGACAUACUUUGUGAAGGAUGUAAUCCAUGUUCUAACUACUACAUGUACCAUGCAGCCACACAACUCAACCUUUACAAAUUCUCAAACCACACAUAUGGGUGAAACUUAUUUUUUCGAUUUUGACACUAACAGAUUUUCUGUCUAUGUACAUGAUUAAGUUGAUUUAAUUUUAUUACCUAUUACGGUUAACAGAUAAUCUUACCCUACAUCACUUAAUUGUCUGCAAUGAAGCACAACGGGACUCAUUUGAUCACGAAAUCCAACUCAGAUUUUCUUAAGUCAUCUAACAUUUUCCAUUGUUGUAGUUGUUGCAGGUCCCGCAAUAUUUCCUGUCGUGAUUAAAACAGAGCUGUAAUGUUCAGAUACAUACAUGUUGUCUGUGUGAGAGGGAUGCAACUAUAUGCCAUUGUCAUCUUCCUUUGCAACCGCGUAUUUAUCCCAAGGAUGUCAUAGCAUCUCCGGAAACUUUUCGACUGGGUUCCUAUACAUUGGUAUUCCCAUUAUGCAGCAUCCUGGCCAGCCGCCUAAACCUGUGACCUUAUGACUAACACCAGCCUCCCCAUCUUGUGCCUCCCCCAAACUGAUUGAUUAUUAUUUUUUCACUAUCAUCUUGCUCCUUCAUGCCCACCUGUAGUGCAAAGCAUUACGCAUGAUUCAUUGAACUGCAUCAAUUAUCACACUAGAUAAUCAACCUAAAAUAAUAAAAAAAAAAACAAUUACGUGAUGUGAAGUCCAUGACCAGUAAACUUUUACAUCAAUCACAUUUAGUUAGGCCCGUAUCCGAUUAUUGGUUAAUCUGUACUUAUUAUGUAUUUAACAGUUGUUUCUGGCCAAAACGAAUAACAUAAAUUAAAACCAUAUGAUGAUACUAAAAAAACUUCCAUGAUCGCCACAAUCAAUUUUGACAAUCUGAGUCAUAAUCUCCGCAUGCACACUUUAUAUUAUAUACUAGGCUAUUGUCUCAAAUGUUCAUAUAUGCUAUAUAGCCUUUUACACAUUGACGAAAAAUAUAAACACUUCAAAUUUUUUUAAUCUCUUUCGCACCGCAAUAUUUAUUAUUUUAUCAUGUGCCUUUACUAUACGUUCGUCAAAAUGGAAAUAUUCACAGAUCAAUAAAUUAACACGAUACUAAUAACCUGAUUACCUCGCAUAAAAGGAUAAAUUUACCAUUGCAAAUUUGUAUUCACCCCGCAUAAUUCCUGUAACGAAUGUGUGAUUAACGUUUCCAAAUAACAAAAUUUCGCCGAUCUUCAUGGCCUACAGCACUGGCUAUCGUUUCUGAUAUGAGUAAUUAAGCUGAUAUUUCUAGAAUGGUAGAGUUCAUUCUUUGACAACCGAAUAUUAGGUUUUAGGGAUUUUGUUCCCAUGUUGUCU